RNAcentral lists this ribosomal RNA (401 nucleotides) under uncultured bacterium. RNAcentral describes it as "bacterial SSU rRNA". It matches the Rfam family "Bacterial small subunit ribosomal RNA", at positions 359 to 775 of the family's 1533-position model. The record is from RNAcentral.
GAAUUUUCCGCAAUGGGGGAAACCCUGACGGAGCAACGCCGCGUGCGGGAUGACGCUUUUCGGAGUGUAAACCGCUUUUCUUGGGGACGAAGCACUGACGGUACCCAUGGAGGAAGGCCCGGCUAACUACGUGCCAGCAGCCGCGGUAAUACGUAGGGGUCGAGCGUUGUCCGGAGUUACUGGGCGUAAAGCGCAUGCAGGCGGCUCAUUACGCGUGGCGUGAAAGCCCCCGGCUUAACCGGGGAGGGUCGUCGCGUACGGGUGAGCUUGAGGGUAUCAGGGGCUGGUGGAAUUCCCGGUGUAGUGGUGAAAUGCGUAGAGAUCGGGAGGAACACCUGUGGCGAAGGCGGCCAGCUGGGAUACACCUGACGCUGAGAUGCGAAGGCGUGGGGAGCGAACGG